Molecule: transfer RNA, 83 nt
Filed under: Candidatus Pinguicoccus supinus
Lineage: Bacteria; Pseudomonadati; Verrucomicrobiota
Rfam family: tRNA
About the family: Transfer RNA (tRNA) molecules are approximately 80 nucleotides in length.
Source: Rfam by way of RNAcentral
GGAGAGGUGGCAGAGUGGUUUAUCGCGUAACAUUGGAAAUGUUAUAAAGUUUUUUUUCAGGGGUUCGAAUCCCCUCCUCUCCU